ACUGAGAAACCCGAAAGAUCGGAUGGGGAGAUUCAUCGUCAGCGAUCCAGGCGCGUGUGCGGUUCGUGAUGCCGCGGGACUUCGGUUCCGCGGUACACGUCCGUGUGGGUUUUUGCCUGGUGUCGUCGGCGUGCACUUCUCCCCUAGUAGGACGUCGCGACCCGUUGGGUGUCGGUCUACGGCCCGGAUGGUCGCCUGUCAUGCGUACGCAACGCCUCGCGGCGUUACGUGGCUGACAGACCACCGGUCGCCCGACCAGCUGCCCGGCGGUACUCGCACGGUAUCGAGCCGCAGUUUCGAACUGCGUCCGGCCCGCCGCAAGCGAGGCCAGUGUUCCCGGAUGCACGGACCUAGCGCCGUCGCCGGGCCUGGCCAGCUGUUGGCUGGCGGUGUCCUGGGACUGGCUCAAUAAGAAAAUACCGGUCGGCGACGCUACUGCUGUGG
This 444-nucleotide ribosomal RNA is filed under the name Enicospilus ramidulus. Its description in RNAcentral is "eukaryotic LSU rRNA". Lineage: Eukaryota; Metazoa; Arthropoda; Insecta; Hymenoptera; Ichneumonidae. The record is from RNAcentral.